RNAcentral lists this ribosomal RNA (200 nucleotides) under uncultured bacterium. RNAcentral describes it as "partial 16S ribosomal RNA". It matches the Rfam family "Bacterial small subunit ribosomal RNA", at positions 8 to 212 of the family's 1533-position model. The record is from RNAcentral.
AGAGUUUGAUCCUGGCUCAGAUUGAACGCUGGCGGCACGCUUAACACAUGCAAGUCGAACGGCAGCACGAUGAUGGGUAACCAUUAUGGGUGGCGAGUGGCGGACGGGUGAGUAAAGCGUAGGGAUUUACCCUGAAGGGGAGGAUAACCCGGGGAAACUCGGGCUAAUACUGCAUAAUACUCUGAGGAGGAAAGGGUGGG